Long non-coding RNA from Amphimedon queenslandica, 356 nucleotides. RefSeq lists it as uncharacterized. The transcript is spliced from 3 exons. The record is from RefSeq and is a predicted model, not a curated record. Lineage: Eukaryota; Metazoa; Porifera; Demospongiae; Haplosclerida; Niphatidae.
GAGUGUGUCUGAGUUCUUCAACUCUAGUUUCACACCCACUGGCAAUGAUGGUAGAGUAAGGCUUAAUGAAGGACUCUCACUUAGUGAUUUCAGGGGACUAUACAGUGUUUUGCAUACAAGUUAUUUGAUAAGUUUUGAUGAUACUACUACUAGAAAAGGGGGAAAUGGUGUUUUUCUCCUUCCUGACUUGAGAAUUGCUGAUACAUAUACAUGUGUAGCUGGAAAUCAAUCUCAAUCUGUUUCAGUUGUUCUCAGAAGGCCCAGUGGAAUGUUCUCUCAAUUCUUUGUCAGAUUCACUGGCUCUGUUUUAGAUCCUAAUGUAGACAGUGUGGAUUAUGAAAUUGGAUACAUUGAAG